AAUAAGAGGAACCAUGAAUCUUAGUAAAUUAAUAACUCCUAUUAAUUUAUUUAUAUGGUGGCACAAAAUCGGAAGCCCCGACUGUUUACUAAAAACACAACUAUCUGCAAUUAUGAAAAUAAUAGUAUAGGUAGUGAGAUUUGCCCAAUGCCAUAUUAAUAAGUAAUAAUAAUGGGUAACUGUUUCUUUACAAAAAAUUGGUUAAUAGCGGUCUUAACUAUGAGGAUCCUAAGGUAGCAAAAUAAAUUGGCCAUUAAAUGUGGUCCAGUAUCAAUAAUUUAACGAUGGCUUCACUGUCUCUACAACUUGCUCAGUGAAAUUGAAUUACCCGUGCAGAUGCGGGUUACCUCAAAGAGGACGGGAAGACCCUAU
This 372-nucleotide ribosomal RNA is filed under the name Strobilomyces sp. C363gn. Its description in RNAcentral is "LSU rRNA". It matches the Rfam family "Bacterial large subunit ribosomal RNA", at positions 1740 to 2094 of the family's 2925-position model. Lineage: Eukaryota; Fungi; Basidiomycota; Agaricomycetes; Boletales; Boletaceae. The record is from RNAcentral.